This is a long non-coding RNA of Rhagoletis pomonella (apple maggot), 1107 nucleotides long. RefSeq lists it as uncharacterized. Lineage: Eukaryota; Metazoa; Arthropoda; Insecta; Diptera; Tephritidae. The record is from RefSeq and is a predicted model, not a curated record. The transcript is spliced from 3 exons.
UUAGGAUAUGUUGAAGCAACAAAGAAGGCGCAGUUGGAAAAUGAAGUUAUUAGUAUGAAGUAGCAUCUCAGGCAUAUUUGGAAAAGUAUGCCUAUAAGCAAGAUGGAAUUUGGGAAAAAAUGUUAUAAAUCGAGUGGCAUUAUUUAAGAUGUGCUCCAAAUAUUUGGCGAACUUUUUUUCGCCUUCUCAACGUGCUAAGUGACAAGAUAAGAUGACUGCCACCAGGGCCGGUAAGAAGCCCGAAGCAAAGGGAAAACUACCUUCCAGGAAGUUGCAUGCUGUCCGCGAGUCGAAGAUAAAGUUAAGCAAGAAGCAGGUCUGCAAAUGUGCUACCCUGAUAAGCGCAAACUAAAGCGCUCUACUGUGAUUGCACUCUGCAAGCGUGAAAAUUUGGAGCAUGCUGAGAAAUAUCAAGCAACAUAUCUCCUGAUGGACGCCGUGAGAUGAAGUUGCGCCGUCUACGUGCCCGCAGAAUGGCUUUUGUGAUCUUUAUCUGCGGUAUAAACAAAGUUGCACCAAAAGUGCGUAAAGUUUUACUGUGGUUCCAUCUUCGCCACAUUAACAACGGUUUGUUCAUCGAAUUGAACAAGGCAACCAUUAAUAUGCUACGGAUUGCCGAACCGUAUAUUACAUGGGGCUAUCCAAAUCUUAUAACAGUUCGUGAAUUGAUCUACAAACGUGGAAUUGUCAAACACAACUAUCAACGUGUCCCAAACUCUGACAACUAUGUGAUCGAACGCAAAUUGCACAAAGCGCACGAUAUUCAGUGCGUUGAUUAUAAUUAUAAUUAUUUGGCGUACGAAAUAUUCACUGUUGGAUCCCACUUCAAGAAAGCCUCGAAGUUACUGUGGCCACUACGUUGAUGUUGGUGAUUGCGGUAACCGUGAAGAUAAUAUCAACAAACUGCUGCGCAAGAUGGUUUAAAGAAAUUUUCUGGUGUACAAGGUUUAACCCGCAAAUAUGCCAAAUGGAAGGCAAACGGAAAUUCCAUUGCCGUUUGUAAAGGCCAUUUCAAAAGGCUCCAUUCCACAAAUUUAAUUUGUUUUGGUUUUUCAGCUCAUUAACGAUGCACCCAGGAUUGCAUUUACCGUCUAUGAAAAUAUUUCA